This is a long non-coding RNA of Dama dama (fallow deer), 753 nucleotides long. RefSeq lists it as uncharacterized. The record is from RefSeq and is a predicted model, not a curated record. NCBI's taxonomy places the organism in Eukaryota, Metazoa, Chordata, Mammalia, Artiodactyla, Cervidae. The transcript is spliced from 3 exons.
UUGCAACCCCAUGGGCAGUGGCCUACCUAGCUCCUCCGUCCAUGGGAUUUUCCAGGCAAGAAUACUGGAGUGAGUUGCCAUUUCCUUCUCCAGGGGAUCUUCCCGACCCAGGGAUUGAACCCAGGUCUCCCACAUUGCAGGCAGACGCUUUACCCUCUGAGCCACCAGGGAAGCCCCAUGGAUGGUAUUAAGGAAUUAUUAAUACUUACUGAGCUCUUGCAGAACCUUGGCAACACACACAAAAAAAACAAGCAAACAAACCAAUGACUCUUUCAAGGUGCUGAAGAUUACCUAAAAAGGCUUGUCAGCAGAUCCAAGGCUUGUCAGCAGAUGACACAAGUAGACGUGAUGCCUGAUGCCCUGACUGAGGAUUCUUUCUGAUGAAAUACAAGCUACCCACCUGUGACUAAAGCUGCCCAUGAACUGCAAGAAGUGAAACUGGAAUAAACCCAGAAAAAUGUGAAACUUGCACAUGGUCAUCCCAAUGCAGCCGUGUUCCCACGGAAGAUGAUUUCCUGGGAUUUGGACAAGAGAGAAUAGACAAGCUUGGAAAUGUCAUCCUUUCUCAUGACUUUAGAGUAACCAAAAUAAUUUUUAACAGCAUUAAUUUUUGGCCUUUAAGUAAAUAUCUUUCUGAUAUUUGAUUUCGUAAUGCAGAACAGUGUAUUAAAAAAAUUGAAACCAUCACAUUGCUUGACUCCAUAAGCAAUACAUUUGAAAGCAUUUAUUUCAUGGCUACCCAAAUAUAUAUAU